AUUGAACGCUGGCGGCAGGCCUAACACAUGCAAGUCGAACGGUAGCACAGAGAGCUUGCUCUCGGGUGACGAGUGGCGGACGGGUGAGUAAUGUCUGGGAAACUGCCCGAUGGAGGGGGAUAACUACUGGAAACGGUAGCUAAUACCGCAUAAUGUCGCAAGACCACAGAGGGGGACCUUCGGGCCUCUUGCUAUCGGAUGUGCCCAGAUGGGAUUAGCUUGUUGGUGAGGUAAUGGCUCACCAAGGCGACGAUCCCUAGCUGGUCUGAGAGGAUGACCAGCCACACUGGAACUGAGACACGGUCCAGACUCCUACGGGAGGCAGCAGUGGGGAAUAUUGCACAAUGGGCGCAAGCCUGAUGCAGCCAUGCCGCGUGUGUGAAGAAGGCCUUCGGGUUGUAAAGCACUUUCAGCGGGGAGGAAGGCAAUGCGGUUAAUAACCGUGUUGAUUGACGUUACCCGCAGAAGAAGCACCGGCUAACUCCGUG
RNAcentral lists this ribosomal RNA (488 nucleotides) under uncultured bacterium. RNAcentral's name for it is "partial 16S ribosomal RNA". It matches the Rfam family "Bacterial small subunit ribosomal RNA", at positions 30 to 507 of the family's 1533-position model. The record is from RNAcentral.